CUACGGGAUGCUCCAGUGGGGAAUAUUGCACAAUGGGCGCAAGCCUGAUGCAGCCAUGCCGCGUGUAUGAAGAAGGCCUUCGGGUUGUAAAGUACUUUCAGCGGGGAGGAAGGGAGUAAAGUUAAUACCUUUGCUCAUUGACGUUACCCGCAGAAGAAGCACCGGCUAACUCCGUGCCAGCAGCCGCGGUAAUACGGAGGGUGCAAGCGUUAAUCGGAAUUACUGGGCGUAAAGCGCACGCAGGCGGUUUGUUAAGUCAGAUGUGAAAUCCCCGGGCUCAACCUGGGAACUGCAUCUGAUACUGGCAAGCUUGAGUCUCGUAGAGGGGGGUAGAAUUCCAGGUGUAGCGGUGAAAUGCGUAGAGAUCUGGAGGAAUACCGGUGGCGAAGGCGGCCCCCUGGACGAAGACUGACGCUCAGGUGCGAAAGCUUGGGGAGCAAACAGGAUUAGAUACCCUGGUAGUC
Molecule: ribosomal RNA, 464 nt
Filed under: uncultured bacterium
Lineage: Bacteria
Description: partial 16S ribosomal RNA
Rfam family: Bacterial small subunit ribosomal RNA
Source: RNAcentral